RNAcentral lists this unclassified non-coding RNA (465 nucleotides) under plant metagenome. RNAcentral describes it as "partial contains 5.8S ribosomal RNA, internal transcribed spacer 2, and large subunit ribosomal RNA". The stretch from base 1 to 104 matches the Rfam family "5.8S ribosomal RNA", at positions 50 to 154 of the family's 154-position model. The record is from RNAcentral.
AAAGUGCGAAAAUUACUGUGAAUUGCAGGAUUCGCGAGUCAGCUAGUCUUUGAACGCAUACUGCGCUGUCCAGUCUUCUGGUCAGCAUGUUUGGUUGAGUGUUGGAUCAUUUCAAUUGUUAUCCAGGAGAAGGUCACGCAAGACUAAUCCAGGAAGCAGGUACGCCUGAGGUCUUUUCUGAUUUUGAAAGAGAGACAUGGGUGAGAUGAUAGUAGAUGGUGGUGGUGGGGUGGUAGGUAGAGUACCACAAACCAAUUAUACCAUCUUGGUCUUUUCAAAACCAGAGAACGUAUACUCUUCUCUUCUAGUACCUGGUUGUCAUUUGAAAAAACACUUGGUCUUUACUCUCUCUUUCUCAUUCUCAUUCAUAUCCCUCUUCGGGAUACGAACGAACGAACGAACGAACGAGAGAGUGGCCAUCCAAAUUAACCUCAACUCAAGCAGGAUUACCCGCCGAACUUAAGC